Long non-coding RNA from Hippocampus comes (tiger tail seahorse), 2692 nucleotides. RefSeq lists it as uncharacterized. NCBI's taxonomy places the organism in Eukaryota, Metazoa, Chordata, Actinopteri, Syngnathiformes, Syngnathidae. The transcript has 2 exons. The record is from RefSeq and is a predicted model, not a curated record.
AUUUCGUAUUGAAAAAGCGUUGCAGUUAGCAGUCCUAUCGAAGAUUUCCAUACCUCACCAUUUGAUUCACUAAAUAAAGUUACAUACAAAGGCUUUGAUGGCAUUCCACAAUGCCGUAAGAUUUGUCCCGAUUUCACCCCCUUAGGCGUGCCCCGUGACCUCUUCACCUUGGCGGCGUAGCUUGUACGUCCACCCUUUUAGCGCUCGCCAGAGCGAGAAAUAUAGUUUGCCGUUUAUUGCCUAGUAAUGAGCCCGAGGUUCUUUUGAAAACAGCUCAAAUGAAUUUGCACAACAAAAGAUGACAAAACGUGGACCGUACGGACCGCGCGCCGUGCCCGCCCUCCGUCGACGUCGUGCGUAACGCCGAAGUCCCCCUCGUUAAAUAGCUUCCGAGUGAUGUAUGAGCGACUGCGAUAUUCGUCUGCGAACUUUGGACUAAUUAAUGAGGGCUCGCGAACAGAUGUUGGCCCCAUUGCGACACGCGCUUGUUAGCAAUGAUUUGAUAAACAACAGGCUAAUAUGCUAAUGGAUAGCAGCUGUCGGUGACUUCUUUUCAGUCUGUUUUUUGCUCCGCUUACAGUAAGACGCUCAAAUUCACCUGCGCCCUCUCGGGGCCCGUCUGUUCACCCCCGCGGCCCACCAGUGGAAAAGAUCACCUGGUUUGCUCGGCACACGCCAUUACCCCGCUCAGUUAGCAUGACAUAAUCAACAGGUUUUGGCCACUGGUAACACAUCCUCCCCCUGGAAUGUUUAUACCGGCGCACAUUCCUCGCUCUGAGCUCGUGGCUUUCCGCAGCGUCUCGCUCAGGUUUGCCAGGACAUCAGUCAUCGUGUCACGGAAGCCGUUGCAAACCGUCGUUCUCUUCGUACCACCUCAGGAUUCGUGUCACCGUGGACCUUGUUGGCUUCCAUAUAGUGCGUACUGUGUGUUUGCCCUUCUGCCAGGUGCCCCCCCCCUUCCGCACCCCCCGCCCCCAGAGGACCCUGACAUGAGCCAUUAAAGUUUAUAAGCAUGGGGCCCAGCUGUCAAUCAGGUAGGCAAACCGCCCUCCCUCCCCCGGGCCCCAUCCAAUCACUCGCCGAGGUGAGCCCCGCGAAACCCCAGAGAACCCCUGACCUCGCUUUGACGGAGAGCUCAAGCAAGCGGGGUUAGUCCGGCUUUGACCGGCUGGGCUUACAGAAAGUCAUUUUCGCCCCAAGGCUCGGAGGCAACUUUUUCAACCAAACGCCGACGCUUGGUCAACUCUGAGCUAGCUUGGAGAAUUUGUCCUUGGGAAAUCUCUUUCGUAUGUAUAGUAUGUUAGUGUCGUAUGCUCCUGUGCUGUCCUGACCCCGCUAGUCAUCGCGAUCCCUUCCCCGCAUGCUUCGGCAAUGCCUUCGCGGUCCACAUUACGGUGAUUCUCAAGUCCUGUCCAAUAUUGUCUGACAGUGUUUUUCAAUCAACAUCCCGAUGGAUCCCUUACAUUAUUCUCAGGCUUCCAGUCACUGACGUAGCAACAUGAGUAAGGACCAUUUGGUUUUGAUGAUUUACUACAGGCAAUCUAAACAAAUUGGAUUUGCGCUUUCUUGAACCAACCAUAAGAAGGCCGCCACGUUUUAAGCCGUGCACGAGUUGUCGGUGGCCACAACUCACGGCGAGUCACUCACCACGCCAACGUACGGCUAACUCUCCAUUCUCCUUCACUGACGCCCACGUCACUCACCAGGCCAGGUCAUGCCUUUUCCGAGCAAAACGCAUCAGCAAUUAUACAUCAGCAAUUCAGUGUAGCCUUGAAAAUUUUUUAACUAUUUCACUUUGAAAAAAACCCAAAUGAAGUGUCGAUCGCAAAUGCACGUCAUCACGUGCACCAGCACCCGGUCGGUUCCCGUGCGCAUGAUGUCGUGUGGCGUGACACUGAGGGAUUAAAGUAUCCUUAACCCUGCACUGCCUCUUCCUUCUUCCCCCGUGCACCCCUCCCACUCGCUAUUUGUUCAAAUUAAAAGAACUAUUCCGACCUGGCGGAAGAACCCGAGUGCUCUUGACAUCUCCCCGGUACGCCCAACUUGAGCGUCGUCUUUGUGUCUUUUCUUUGCCAUCCCUUUGCUUGAACGGGGAACGGAUCAAGCGAUGAUGUCUCGUCUGACAAAAGUGGCGAGAAACUCUGCGUGCCGAUCCAGACUACACACGCGCAUAUACUUUGGUAUGAGCAAGCAGUUUCCAUGUGUUUGUGUCCUCCGGGUGGGUCACAGUACAAAGAGCAUAUUGUCCUUGUGGAUUUAUUUAUUUUUUUGUCAUAGCGAAGCAGCGCUCCAGAGUCGCUGCGGACCGUUUUCAUGGUGCGUCAGCAACUUAGUUGGCUCUUCACACCCUGGCUUGUAAGUUCACAUGCAGAGCUGAGCUGGAGGAGGCGAAAGGGAACGAGAGUUCAAGCGAGGUUAACGCUCGCUGGUUGGUUUUCUUGUGAGGCCGGGUUGGCGCGGCACGAUUCCAGCCACGCGGUCCCUGUUUUUGCUCACCGUUGGCUGACGCGUCAUGGCGACGUAAAGGCUGAAUGAGGCGCGCAAUCGGAGGGCGGACAGAUAAGUAGCGGAUAUCUUCUAUUGUAAGCGUAGUGCGUGAAUGUGCGGGUUGACUAUACCCCGUCAACGGAGGUCAUCGUGAUGUCUAAGAACACCGUGUCUGCUCGAAACCCCGACAAAGACGGCAAAAAAA